RNAcentral lists this ribosomal RNA (497 nucleotides) under uncultured bacterium. RNAcentral describes it as "partial 16S ribosomal RNA". It matches the Rfam family "Bacterial small subunit ribosomal RNA", at positions 28 to 507 of the family's 1533-position model. The record is from RNAcentral.
GAUGAACGCUGGCGGCGUGCCUAAUACAUGCAAGUCGAGCGAACAGACGAGGAGCUUGCUCCUCUGACGUUAGCGGCGGACGGGUGAGUAACACGUGGAUAACCUACCUAUAAGACUGGGAUAACUUCGGGAAACCGGAGCUAAUACCGGAUAAUAUAUUGAACCGCAUGGUUCAAUAGUGAAAGACGGUUUUGCUGUCACUUAUAGAUGGAUCCGCGCCGCAUUAGCUAGUUGGUAAGGUAACGGCUUACCAAGGCAACGAUGCGUAGCCGACCUGAGAGGGUGAUCAGCCACACUGGAACUGAGACACGGUCCAGACUCCUACGGGAGGCAGCAGUAGGGAAUCUUCCGAAAUGGGCGAAAGCCUGACGGAGCAACGCCGCGUGAGUGAUGAAGGUCUUCGGAUCGUAAAACUCUGUUAUUAGGGAAGAACAAAUGUGUAAGUAACUAUGCACGUCUUGACGGUACCUAAUCAGAAAGCCACGGCUAACUACGUG